This 484-nucleotide ribosomal RNA is filed under the name uncultured bacterium. RNAcentral's name for it is "partial 16S ribosomal RNA". It matches the Rfam family "Bacterial small subunit ribosomal RNA", at positions 29 to 507 of the family's 1533-position model. The record is from RNAcentral.
AUUGAACGCUGGCGGCAUGCUUUACACAUGCAAGUCGAACGGCAGCGCGGGCUUCGGCCUGGCGGCGAGUGGCGAACGGGUGAGUAAUGCAUCGGAACGUGCCCAGGAGUGGGGGAUAGCCCGGCGAAAGCCGGAUUAAUACCGCAUACGACCUGAGGGUGAAAGCGGGGGACCGAAAGGCCUCGCGCUAUUGGAGAGGCCGAUGUCGGAUUAGCUAGUUGGUGGGGUAAAGGCUUACCAAGGCGACGAUCCGUAGCUGGUCUGAGAGGACGACCAGCCACACUGGGACUGAGACACGGCCCAGACUCCUACGGGAGGCAGCAGUGGGGAAUUUUGGACAAUGGGGGCAACCCUGAUCCAGCCAUGCCGCGUGCGGGAAGAAGGCCUUCGGGUUGUAAACCGCUUUUGUUCGGGAAGAAAUCCUCUGGGCUAAUACCCCGGGGGGAUGACGGUACCGGAAGAAUAAGCACCGGCUAACUACGUG